RNAcentral lists this ribosomal RNA (463 nucleotides) under uncultured bacterium. Its description in RNAcentral is "partial 16S ribosomal RNA". It matches the Rfam family "Bacterial small subunit ribosomal RNA", at positions 29 to 507 of the family's 1533-position model. The record is from RNAcentral.
ACGAACGCUGGCGGCGUGCUUCACACAUGCCAGUCGAACGGUAAGGCCCUUUCGGGGGUACACGAGUGGCGAACGGGUGAGUAACACGUGGGUGAUCUGCCCUGCACUUUGGGAUAAGCCUGGGAAACUGGGUCUAAUACCGGAUAGGACUACGCGAUGCAUGUCGUGUGGUGGAAAGCUUUUGCGGUGUGGGAUGGGCCCGCGGCCUAUCAGCUUGUUGGUGGGGUGAUGGCCUACCAAGGCGACGACGGGUAGCCGGCCUGUGAGGGUGUCCGGCCACACUGGGACUGAGAUACGGCCCAGACUCCUACGGGAGGCAGCAGUGGGGAAUAUUGCACAAUGGGCGCAAGCCUGAUGCAGCGACGCCGCGUGGGGGAUGACGGCCUUCGGGUUGUAAACCCCUUUCAGCACAGACGAAGCGUAAGUGACGGUAUGUGCAGAAGAAGCACCGGCCAACUACGUG